This 2285-nucleotide ribosomal RNA is filed under the name Streptococcus infantarius subsp. infantarius. RNAcentral's name for it is "partial 23S ribosomal RNA". It matches the Rfam family "Bacterial large subunit ribosomal RNA", at positions 627 to 2925 of the family's 2925-position model. The record is from RNAcentral. Lineage: Bacteria; Bacillati; Bacillota; Bacilli; Lactobacillales; Streptococcaceae.
GUUACGAUAUGAUGCGAGGUUAAGUUGAAGAGACGGAGCCGUAGGGAAACCGAGUCUUAAUAGGGCGCAUUAGUAUCAUGUCGUAGACCCGAAACCAUGUGACCUACCCAUGAGCAGGGUGAAGGUGAGGUAAAACUCACUGGAGGCCCGAACCAGGGCACGUUGAAAAGUGCUUGGAUGACUUGUGGGUAGCGGAGAAAUUCCAAACGAACUUGGAGAUAGCUGGUUCUCUCCGAAAUAGCUUUAGGGCUAGCGUCGAUGUUAAGUCUCUUGGAGGUAGAGCACUGUUUGAUUGAGGGGUCCAUCCCGGAUUACCAAUAUCAGAUAAACUCCGAAUGCCAAUGAGAUAUAAUCGGCAGUCAGACUGCGAGUGCUAAGAUCCGUAGUCGAAAGGGAAACAGCCCAGACCACCAGCUAAGGUCCCAAAAUAUAUGUUAAGUGGAAAAGGAUGUGGGGUUGCACAGACAACUAGGAUGUUAGCUUAGAAGCAGCUAUUCAUUCAAAGAGUGCGUAAUAGCUCACUAGUCGAGUGACCCUGCGCCGAAAAUGUACCGGGGCUAAAACAUAUUACCGAAGCUGUGGAUACCUUUAUAGGUAUGGUAGGAGAGCGUUCUAUGUGUGAAGAAGGUGUACCGUGAGGAGCGCUGGAACGCAUAGAAGUGAGAAUGCCGGUAUGAGUAGCGAAAGACAGGUGAGAAUCCUGUCCACCGUAUGACUAAGGUUUCCAGGGGAAGGCUCGUCCUCCCUGGGUUAGUCGGGACCUAAGGAGAGACCGAAAGGUGUAUCCGAUGGACAACAGGUUGAUAUUCCUGUACUAGAGUAUAUAGUGAUGGAGGGACGCAGUAGGCUAACUAAAGCGUGCGAUUGGAAGUGCACGUCUAAGCAGUGAGGUGUGAUAUGAGUCAAAUGCUUAUAUCUUUAACAUUGAGCUGUGAUGGGGAGCGAAGUUAAGUAGCGAAGUUAGUGAUGUCACACUGCCAAGAAAAGCUUCUAGCGUUAAUUAUACUCUACCCGUACCGCAAACCGACACAGGUAGUCGAGGCGAGUAGCCUCAGGUGAGCGAGAGAACUCUCGUUAAGGAACUCGGCAAAAUGGCCCCGUAACUUCGGGAGAAGGGGCGCUGGCUUUAAGUCAGCCGCAGUGAAUAGGCCCAAGCAACUGUUUAUCAAAAACACAGCUCUCUGCUAAAUCGUAAGAUGAUGUAUAGGGGGUGACGCCUGCCCGGUGCUGGAAGGUUAAGAGGAGCGCUUAGCAUUAGCGAAGGUGUGAAUUGAAGCCCCAGUAAACGGCGGCCGUAACUAUAACGGUCCUAAGGUAGCGAAAUUCCUUGUCGGGUAAGUUCCGACCCGCACGAAAGGCGUAAUGAUUUGGGCACUGUCUCAACGAGAGACUCGGUGAAAUUUUAGUACCUGUGAAGAUGCAGGUUACCCGCGACAGGACGGAAAGACCCCAUGGAGCUUUACUGCAGUUUGAUAUUGAGUAUCUGUACCACAUGUACAGGAUAGGUAGGAGCCUAUGAAAUCGGGACGCUAGUUUCGGUGGAGGCGUUGUUGGGAUACUACCCUUGUGUUAUGGCUACUCUAACCUAGAUAGGUUAUCCCUAUCGGAGACAGUGUCUGACGGGCAGUUUGACUGGGGCGGUCGCCUCCUAAAAGGUAACGGAGGCGCCCAAAGGUUCCCUCAGAAUGGUUGGAAAUCAUUCGCAGAGUGUAAAGGUAUAAGGGAGCUUGACUGCGAGAGCUACAACUCGAGCAGGGACGAAAGUCGGGCUUAGUGAUCCGGUGGUUCCGCAUGGAAGGGCCAUCGCUCAACGGAUAAAAGCUACCCUGGGGAUAACAGGCUUAUCUCCCCCAAGAGUUCACAUCGACGGGGAGGUUUGGCACCUCGAUGUCGGCUCGUCGCAUCCUGGGGCUGUAGUCGGUCCCAAGGGUUGGGCUGUUCGCCCAUUAAAGCGGCACGCGAGCUGGGUUCAGAACGUCGUGAGACAGUUCGGUCCCUAUCCGUCGCGGGCGUAGGAAAUUUGAGAGGAUCUGCUCCUAGUACGAGAGGACCAGAGUGGACUUACCGCUGGUGUACCAGUUGUCUUGCCAAAGGCAUCGCUGGGUAGCUAUGUAGGGAAGGGAUAAACGCUGAAAGCAUCUAAGUGUGAAGCCCACCUCAAGAUGAGAUUUCCCAUGAUUUUAUAUCAGUAAGAGCCCUGAGAGAUGAUCAGGUAGAUAGGUUAGAAGUGUAAGUGUGGUGACACAUGUAGCGGACUAAUACUAAUAGCUCGAGGACUUAUCCAA